This 449-nucleotide ribosomal RNA is filed under the name uncultured bacterium. RNAcentral describes it as "partial 16S ribosomal RNA". It matches the Rfam family "Bacterial small subunit ribosomal RNA", at positions 29 to 523 of the family's 1533-position model. The record is from RNAcentral.
AACGAACGCUGGCGGCAGGCCUAACACAUGCAAGUCGAGCGAAGCCUUCGGGCUUAGCGGCGGACGGGUGAGUAACGCGUGGGAACGUGCCCUUUGGUACGGAAUAGCCCCGGGAAACUGGGAGUAAUACCGUAUGUGGUCGAGAGACGAAAGAUUUAUCGCCAAAGGAUCGGCCCGCGUUGGAUUAGGUAGUUGGUGGGGUAAUGGCCUACCAAGCCGACGAUCCAUAGCUGGUUUGAGAGGAUGAUCAGCCACACUGGGACUGAGACACGGCCCAGACUCCUACGGGAGGCAGCAGUGGGGAAUCUUAGACAAUGGGGGAAACCCUGAUCUAGCCAUGCCGCGUGAUAGAUGAAGGCCUUAGGGUUGUAAAGAUCUUUCAGUGGGGAAGAUAAUGACUGUACCCACAGAAGAAGCCCCGGCUAACUCCGUGCCAGCCGCCGCGGUAA